This 941-nucleotide long non-coding RNA is filed under the name Marmota monax (woodchuck). The record is from RNAcentral. Lineage: Eukaryota; Metazoa; Chordata; Mammalia; Rodentia; Sciuridae.
AAACAAACAAACAAACAAAAUUUACUUACCAUAUAGGGCUAUUGUGAGAAUUGAAAGUACAAUGUAGAUCCUCAGUAUUUAUCCAAAAGAACCAAAAUCAUCAUACGGUGACAAUACAGCCACCUCAAUGUUUAUAGCAGCAAAAUUCACAGUAGCCAAAUUAUGAAACCAGCCCAGAUGCCUGUCAAUAGAUGAAUGGAUUAAGAAACUUUGGUGCAUAGAUACACAAUGGAGUUUUACUCAGCCACAAAGAAGAAUGAAAUCAUGGCAUUUGCCAGUAAAUGGGUGGAAAUGAGAAGGUUAUGUUAAGUGAAAUAAGCUAGACCGAGAAUAUCAAGGGCUGAGGGUUUUCUCUUAUGUUUGGAAGCUAGAGCAAAAUAAGGGAAAGAAGGAGGGUCGGGUCAGAUGUCAUGAAGAUGUAGGGAAGGUCAGUGGAGUAGAUGAGGGAGACUGAGAGAGAAGUAGUAGGACCCGGAAAAGGGAGGAAAUGAAGGUGAUGUCAAAAGAUCAUGCUCUGAUCAUGCACAAAUAUAUCACAGGGAAUGUCAUCCUGAUGUAUACGGAGAAAGAACCAAUCCCAAAUAAUAAAUAAGAAAGUUAAAGGGAGACCAGUAGCGUUGAGGAAGGAGAAUGGAGAAGGGGAGAAGGAAGGAAGAGGGGAAGCUGUGCGCUGAAAUGAAAUUCCAUGCACGUAUGAUUAUGUUGGGAUUAAGUCAGCGAUUACGUAUAACUCUAGUGCUCUAAUUUUUAAGAAAAGAAAAGAAAGUGUAGAACCAAGAUGCCAUGAAUGGCCCUCAGUGGCGGCUAAUUUCCUUUUCUUUUUUCUUCACAACGUUGUUCCUAAAUCCUUUGCUGUCACUAAGUAAGUGCUCAGCACAUACUUGAAGCAUAAGCAAAAAGUGCCAGUGUCCCCAUGAAUCUUUUCUGAGCAUGACAAGGCA